Molecule: ribosomal RNA, 497 nt
Filed under: uncultured bacterium
Lineage: Bacteria
Description: partial 16S ribosomal RNA
Rfam family: Bacterial small subunit ribosomal RNA
Source: RNAcentral
GACGAACGCUGGCGGCGUGCCUAAUACAUGCAAGUAGAACGCUGAAGAGAGGAGCUUGCUCUUCUUGGAUGAGUUGCGAACGGGUGAGUAACGCGUAGGUAACCUGCCUGGUAGCGGGGGAUAACUAUUGGAAACGAUAGCUAAUACCGCAUAAAAUGGAUUAUCGCAUGAUAAUCCAUUGAAAGGUGCAAAUGCAUCACUACCAGAUGGACCUGCGUUGUAUUAGCUAGUUGGUGGGGUAACGGCUCACCAAGGCGACGAUACAUAGCCGACCUGAGAGGGGGAGCGGCCACACUGGGAAUGAGACACGGCCCAGACUCCUACGGGAGGCAGCAGUAGGGAAUCUUCGGCAAUGGACGGAAGUCUGACCGAGCAACGCCGCGUGAGUGAAGAAGGGUUUCGGAUCGGAAAGCUCGGUUGUAAGAGAAGAACGAGUGUGAGAGUGGAAAGUUCACACUGUGACGGUAUCUUACCAGAAAGGGACGGCUAACUACGUG